RNAcentral lists this unclassified non-coding RNA (345 nucleotides) under soil metagenome. Its description in RNAcentral is "partial contains 5.8S ribosomal RNA, internal transcribed spacer 2, and large subunit ribosomal RNA". The stretch from base 1 to 120 matches the Rfam family "5.8S ribosomal RNA", at positions 35 to 154 of the family's 154-position model. The record is from RNAcentral.
GAUGAAGAACGUAGCGAAAUGCGAUAAGUAGUGUGAAUUGCAGAAUUCAGUGAAUCAUCGAAUCUUUGAACGCACAUUGCGCCCUUCGGUAUUCCGUUGGGCAUGCCUGUUCGAGCGUCAUUGCUGCCCUCAAGCACGGCUUGUGUGUUGGGCCUCCGUCCUCCUCCCGGGGGACGGGCCCGAAAGGCAGCGGCGGCACCGCGUCCGGUCCUCGAGCGUAUGGGGCUUCGUCACCCGCUCUUGUAGGCCCGGCCGGCGCUUGCCGACACAUCAAUCUUUUUUCCAGGUUGACCUCGGAUCAGGUAGGGAUACCCGCUGAACUUAAGCAUAUCAAUAAGCGGAGGA